This 164-nucleotide unclassified non-coding RNA is filed under the name uncultured Cortinarius. RNAcentral's name for it is "sequence contains ITS1". The record is from RNAcentral. Lineage: Eukaryota; Fungi; Basidiomycota; Agaricomycetes; Agaricales; Cortinariaceae.
UUGAAAUAAACCUGAUGGGUUGUUGCUGGUUCUCUAGGGAGCAUGUGCACGCCUUGUCAUCUUUAUAUCUCCACCUGUGCACUUUUUGUAGACCUCCCGGGGUCUAUGUUGCUUCAUUUACCCCCAAUGUAUGUUAAUAGAAUGUUGUGCCUAUUUAAUAUAUA